UACGUAGGUGGCGAGCGUUGUCCGGAUUUACUGGGCGUAAAGGGAGCGUAGGCGGAUUUUUAAGUGAGAUGUGAAAUACUCGGGCUCAACUUGAGUGCUGCAUUUCAAACUGGAAGUCUAGAGUGCAGGAGAGAAGAAUGGAAUUCCUAGUGUAGCGGUGAAAUGCGUAGAGAUUAGGAAGAACACCAGUGGCGAAGGCGAUUCUCUGGACUGUAACUGACGCUGAGGCUCGAAAGCGUGGGGAGCAAACAGG
This 253-nucleotide ribosomal RNA is filed under the name uncultured bacterium. RNAcentral's name for it is "partial 16S ribosomal RNA". It matches the Rfam family "Bacterial small subunit ribosomal RNA", at positions 524 to 776 of the family's 1533-position model. The record is from RNAcentral.